CUUUUCUUGUUAGUUUUUGAAGUAUGGCCUGCCCACUGACUUUUUGUUGAAGGGCCGCGGUAUUUUGACCGUGCAAAGGUAGCAUAAUCAUUAGUUCUUUAAUUGUGAUCUGGUAUGAAUGGCUUGACGAGGCAUAUACUGUCUUAGAAGUAUUGUUUGUUGAAUUUAGUUUUUGAGUUAAAAUUCUUAGAUGUUUUUAUGGGACGAGAAGACCCUAUAGAGUUUAACAUUUAUUUUUAUUAUAAUUUGUUGUUUGUUUUUAUUUUUAAUUGGGUUAAGUGUUUUGUUGGGGUGAUGGGAGGAAUGUUUUUAACUCCUCUUUGUUUUUAUAUAUUGAUUUAUAUUUUUUUGAUCCAUUUAUUUUGAUUAUAAGAUUAAAUUACC
Molecule: ribosomal RNA, 384 nt
Filed under: Sinocapritermes mushae
Lineage: Eukaryota; Metazoa; Arthropoda; Insecta; Blattodea; Termitidae
Description: partial 16S rRNA
Source: RNAcentral